This 428-nucleotide ribosomal RNA is filed under the name uncultured bacterium. RNAcentral's name for it is "partial 16S ribosomal RNA". It matches the Rfam family "Bacterial small subunit ribosomal RNA", at positions 354 to 796 of the family's 1533-position model. The record is from RNAcentral.
GUGGGGAAUAUUGGGCAAUGGGCGAAAGCCUGACCCAGCGACGCCGCGUGAAGGAUGAAGGUCUUCGGAUUGUAAACUUCUUUGAUCAGGGAAGAAAGAAAUGACGGUACCUGAAAAACAAGCCACGGCUAACUACGUGCCAGCAGCCGCGGUAAUACGUAGGUGGCAAGCGUUGUCCGGAUUUACUGGGUGUAAAGGGCGUGUAGGCGGGGAUGCAAGUCAGAUGUGAAAUCCCGCGGCUCAACCGCGGAACUGCAUCUGAAACUGCGUCUCUUGAGUGUCGGAAGGGAAAGUGGAAUUCCUAGUGUAGCGGUGAAAUGCGUAGAUAUUAGGAGGAACACCGGUGGCGAAGGCGACUUUCUGGACGAUAACUGACGCUGAGACGCGAAAGCGUGGGGAGCAAACAGGAUUAGAAACCCGGGUAGUCC